RNAcentral lists this ribosomal RNA (800 nucleotides) under uncultured bacterium. RNAcentral's name for it is "bacterial SSU rRNA". It matches the Rfam family "Bacterial small subunit ribosomal RNA", at positions 8 to 788 of the family's 1533-position model. The record is from RNAcentral.
AGAGUUUGAUCCUGGCUCAGGAUGAACGCUGGCGGCGUGCCUAAUACAUGCAAGUCGAGCGAAUGAAUUAAGAGCUUGCUCUUAUGAAGUUAGCGGCGGACGGGUGAGUAACACGUGGGUAACCUGCCCAUAAGACUGGGAUAACUCCGGGAAACCGGGGCUAAUACCGGAUAACAUUUUGAACUGCAUGGUUCGAAAUUGAAAGGCGGCUUCGGCUGUCACUUAUGGAUGGACCCGCGUCGCAUUAGCUAGUUGGUGAGGUAACGGCUCACCAAGGCAACGAUGCGUAGCCGACCUGAGAGGGUGAUCGGCCACACUGGGACUGAGACACGGCCCAGACUCCUACGGGAGGCAGCAGUAGGGAAUCUUCCGCAAUGGACGAAAGUCUGACGGAGCAACGCCGCGUGAGUGAUGAAGGCUUUCGGGUCGUAAAGCUCUGUUGUUAGGGAAGAACAAGUGCUAGUUGAAUAAGCUGGCACCUUGACGGUACCUAACCAGAAAGCCACGGCUAACUACGUGCCAGCAGCCGCGGUAAUACGUAGGUGGCAAGCGUUAUCCGGAAUUAUUGGGCGUAAAGCGCGCGCAGGUGGUUUCUUAAGUCUGAUGUGAAAGCCCACGGCUCAACCGUGGAGGGUCAUUGGAAACUGGGAGACUUGAGUGCAGAAGAGGAAAGUGGAAUUCCAUGUGUAGCGGUGAAAUGCGUAGAGAUAUGGAGGAACACCAGUGGCGAAGGCGACUUUCUGGUCUGUAACUGACACUGAGGCGCGAAAGCGUGGGGAGCAAACAGGAUUAGAUACCCU